Molecule: ribosomal RNA, 483 nt
Filed under: uncultured bacterium
Lineage: Bacteria
Description: bacterial SSU rRNA
Rfam family: Bacterial small subunit ribosomal RNA
Source: RNAcentral
GAUAAACGCUGGCGGCGUGCAUAACACAUUCAAGUCGAACGGGAAUCUUUGAGUGGAGACUUCGGUCAAAGCGAGAAGAGGAUAGUGGCGGACGGGUGAGUAACGCGUGAGCAACCUGCCUUUGUGAGGGGGAUAACACAGGGAAACCUGUGCUAAUACCGCAUAACGCAUACUGAUUGCAUGGUUGGUAUGUCAAAGGAGCAAUCCGCACAAAGAUGGGCUCGCGUCUGAUUAGAUAGUUGGUGAGGUAACGGCUCACCAAGUCGACGAUCAGUAGCCGGACUGAGAGGUUGAACGGCCACAUUGGAACUGAGAUACGGUCCAGACUCCUACGGGAGGCAGCAGUGGGGAAUAUUGGGCAAUGGGCGAAAGCCUGACCCAGCGACGCCGCGUGAGGGAAGAAGGUCUUCGGAUUGUAAACCUUUGUAGACAGGGAAGAAGAAAGUGACGGUACCUGUAAAGUAAGCCACGGCUAACUACGUG